RNAcentral lists this ribosomal RNA (459 nucleotides) under uncultured bacterium. Its description in RNAcentral is "partial 16S ribosomal RNA". It matches the Rfam family "Bacterial small subunit ribosomal RNA", at positions 338 to 795 of the family's 1533-position model. The record is from RNAcentral.
CCUACGGGUGGCAGCAGUGAGGAAUAUUGGUCAAUGGGCGGAAGCCUGAACCAGCCAAGCCGCGUGAAGGACGAAGGUGCCACGCAUUGUAAACUUCUUUUGUCAGGGAACAAAAUCAGGCUCUAGAGCCUGACCGAGGGUACUUGAAGAAAAAGCAUCGGCUAACUCCGUGCCAGCAGCCGCGGUAAUACGGAGGAUGCGAGCGUUAUCCGGAUUUAUUGGGUUUAAAGGGUGCGUAGGCGGACUGUUAAGUCAGCGGUAAAAGCCCGGGGCUCAACCCCGGCGAGCCGUUGAAACUGGCUGUCUGGAGAUGGAGAGAGGUAUGCGGAAUGCGCAGUGUAGCGGUGAAAUGCUUAGAGAUUGUGCAGAACUCCGAUUGCGAAGGCAGCAUACCGGCGGAGAUCUGACGCUGAGGCACGAAAGCGUGGGUAGCGAACAGGAUUAGAUACCCGUGUAGUC